This 255-nucleotide ribosomal RNA is filed under the name uncultured bacterium. Its description in RNAcentral is "partial 16S ribosomal RNA". It matches the Rfam family "Bacterial small subunit ribosomal RNA", at positions 524 to 777 of the family's 1533-position model. The record is from RNAcentral.
UACGUAGGGCGCAAGCGUUGUCCGGAUUCACUGGGUGUAAAGGGUGCGUAGGCGGGAAGGUAAGUCCGCGGUGAAAUCUCACAGCUCAACUGUGAAACUGCCGUUGAUACUGCUUUUCUUUGAGUUCGGGAGAGGUUGAUGGAAUUCCAGGUGUAGCGGUGAAAUGCGUAGAUAUCUGGAAGAACACCAGUGGCGAAGGCGGUCAACUGGCCCGUAACUGACGCUGAGGCACGAAAGCCAGGGGAGCAAAGCGGG